Cucumis sativus (cucumber) is the source of this 207-nucleotide long non-coding RNA. RefSeq lists it as uncharacterized. The record is from RefSeq and is a predicted model, not a curated record. NCBI's taxonomy places the organism in Eukaryota, Viridiplantae, Streptophyta, Magnoliopsida, Cucurbitales, Cucurbitaceae. The transcript is spliced from 2 exons.
CAGUUUUUGUUGGAAACAGUUCCACUCAAUCUGACUGCAAUUUGAAUUCCACAAAACAAACUACAUCAAAAUCUUCUGUAGUAACUUCACACGUUCCUGAUGUCGCUUCCAAUCGAGGACUUGUUGGAGCAGACAACUAAGAUUCAAGAUCAGAAGUCACCUGGAAAGACUGCUGCGACAAAAGUGUAUCCUUCUAUUAGGUUUAAA